Molecule: long non-coding RNA, 795 nt
Organism: Anguilla anguilla (European eel)
Lineage: Eukaryota; Metazoa; Chordata; Actinopteri; Anguilliformes; Anguillidae
Exons: 2
Source: RefSeq, a predicted model, not a curated record
GGGGUUUGGCAGGGCGGCGAUGGUAGCCCGGGCGACAGCGUUGGCACCUGCGGCCCUCGGUGUUGUGGCGGCAGUUGUCACAGAUCCCCCCGCUGGACCCACCUGAGGACCGCCACGCUCGCCGGGAGAAGCGACAGGGCAAGGCUCCGGAGUAGCGGGAGGUGCAGGGCGCACCUGGCUGGCUCACGUCGUCAGGGAGACCGAAGGUCUGGCUGCAGUUGCUGGCAAAGAGCUUGAGAGGCCCCCAGCUUUGGGCAAAGUCGCGGGAUCGCUCCAGUACCAUCGCCGCAGGACGGGGUGAGCGGAACAGCAUGAUGAGGUGGGUCAGGCAGAACUGGGCCUCCAGGUCCAGACGGAUCUCCUCCUCUCCCACGCCAGCCUCAGACGCCCACCAGGUGCCAGGGUGCAAGAAGGGGUCAUCCGCCAUGUGGCUAGGUGGGUGGGACACUGAGCAUGGGUAGCUGGGAGCAGAGCGGAGAGAGGAGGGUCCACCAUAACAACUGGUCAGGGUCUGGAGCCUUCUGCCAGUCGCCAGGUUUCCCAUUGGGGGGCUGCAGGCAUGAUCUUUGCACUGCAGGGCUAAGAGAAGACCCACAAUGGAGACUCGGUUAAAAGGGGUUGGUGGUGGGGAGGUAACAGCUGCCUGUGAACAGUCUGUGCCUUUUUCUGCACAUUGCAUUUUUCCUCUUUUUUGAGUCUUUUCAGUGACAUACAUGUCUUCAAGUGAAAUAUGUGUCUAAAUGUUUAUGCAGCUAUGAUGAAAGUUAUUAGUUAAAUAAAUAUAAUUCAAAGUGU